GGAUAAUGCAAGUGUUUAACAGAUGCUUCACUAUUAAAAUAUUUUCCCCCCAAGUCUCAAAUAUUGAAGAAUCUCUAACCAGGUACAGUAUCACUCUGCUCUCUUUUCUGGUUGAAAAGAAAAAAAGAAAGAAAACGCAGGUAUUGCUUUUCGAAGUGCUUUGUAGGUAAUCGAGGGACACCAGUCCCAACGAAGACCUUGGGCGAUUUCAAAGUGCGGGCACCUCGAUUCCCCGAAUCUGUAGUGUGGCUGGUAUCGGUGUUUCCCUGGUUUAACUAGCCUGCUUGAAGGCGCAGAUCAUUCAUGGGGAAGUAAAACCGAAACCAGUCCUCUCCACCCCCUGCGGGUCUUCACUUUCCCAGUCUACAUCUGCCUGUGACUCCAGAAAGACAAACUGCAGAUUGGCCAAGCUGUUUAUUCUUGUUUGACUUUUUGUACAAAGUCACUUUAAAUCUGCUGCAGAAAGAAUAAAGCUCCUAGCCCUUUGGAUGGGCUCCUGCAGGCGUGUGGCUGUCCCUGGCCCACUUUUAAUUCUUUGAAAAUGGCUCUUCUGUGUAAAUCAGCUGCUGGGUGCGUUCGGUCACCUCGUAGGCCAGCCUAGUUUGUGUCAGCAGAACAGUAGUGAACUCAAAUCAGGUCGUAAGCCUUAUAUUUCACAGACAAUUAAAUCUUGGCUGCUGUUGAACAAAACUGUAAUAUUUACUCUGCUCUAUACCGAGGAGCACUUUUAAAGUAAAAAAGAAAAAAAACAAAACAAAUACUACACUUCAAAAAGAAAAUAUGACAAUGAAUCUCUUUUUAUGGAUUCUCUCUGCGUAAGUGGAAACAAUAUGAUUUAAAUCCCCAACACCCCAUCCCCCUUUUCAGACACAGCUGAAGUGAUACAGAUACUGUCUUCUAAUACAUAAUCUCCCUCUCUCGGGAGAGGCACCUACCUGUGCUACAUUCGAUUUAGUUUGUAAGGUUUCAGGCCCCUCCCCGACCCACGUAAUAUGUAACAAGGAUUAUCAAAUAAUAAGGUCUUGGAUGUGAAGUCUGCUUUACACAAGAAUUCAAGAAAGAUAGGCAGGCUUGAGUAAUUAUGUUACAACUUCUUAUUACUUUCCAAAUGAAUACCCAUUUUCUUCUCAUGUCAACUCCUAGAGAUGGGAUGCUGAGGCAGAGAAAUUUUUUAUGAGACUCUGGAGUACAUAUUAAAAUGUGCUUCCUUAUUAUUUAAGAAUGUGUAAGGUAUGGACCUACAUUUGUUUGCUGGUGGUCAUAAAAUAAAUUCAUAACCAUUGUUGGCCAAUAAGCAAUCUCCUUCACGCUUUAAAAGUUUUUGGUUUAUAAUCCCACCUGGAUUGUAUUUUCACGAUUCUGUAUCACUCUCCUAUUGCAAUAUUUUGGUUCUCAAUCUUAUGUAAAGCAAACCUCAGAAAUGAUCGUUUCCAUAAAAUUGUGCAAUGGCAAAGCCACGGAAUAAUAUUUUGAGUCCAUAUAGCCAUGCAUGCUCACGUAUAUAGCUCUUAUACAGUUUUCUAGCUAACCGAUUGCUUUGGUAUUUCAAGAAAUAGGAAGCAGUAGCUACCUAUUUGAAUGAAAGGAUACCAUUUCAUAAGAAUUCUAUUUUCACUGAAAAAAUUGGUCUGGCACAUUAUUCAAUGCAAAAGAUUAUAAUAUUACUUUCACGUGUGUUAAUCUGUUUAGCAUAAAACUGCUAGGGUGUCUUAACCAUUAACGUGUUUUGCCACACCACUUUCAAAUGGUGAUCUGAGAUAAUUACAAAGAUUUUGAUGUUAAUCCCACGUUAAAUGAACAACUAUGAAAAUAAUCUUAAAGCAUUAUUAUUCCCAUAUAAAUGCCAGCAAACCCAAUUGUGGAGAGAAUAUGAUUACUUUUUAUCUGACAUUAUCCUAUAAGGAUAUGGCUACAUUUAUUUCUUUUAAAAUUGGAGCAGUUUUAAAUUACUUUUUAACAGAAUUGUUUUCAACACAGCAUUUUCAGUGCCCAUAAACCAUAGCAACUUUGUACUGAUCGAUACAUAUUUUUCUACAUUAUUAUUCGUUAGCCUCUUUGCAAACUCACUAAAAUAGAAUAGUAUUAAAAUACGAACAUAUAGAGAACAAUUAUUAGGUUCUACAUAUUUAUUUAGGUAAACCAAUGUUAUUAAAAUUAAAAACAUGUGCCUGGCAUAUAAGUGCUUCUUUAGGAAUUCUUUUUUGGAUGCAUAGUUAUUAUUUUUUAAACAAACUCAGAUUUUCAAACUCUGAUUUUCUUCUCUGAACAGGCAUUGCAUUGUUUUAAACAGUAGCUCCUGGAAUAAUGCCACCUUUAGUAUUUUAGACUUUCAAACAACAAUUGGAAUUGGAUAAAUGCUUUCAGCUGAGAGCACUUUCUUAAUACCUUUGUAGGUAAUGGGAUUCUCUAUUUGUGCUGGGUGACAAACGGACAGUGCCCUGGACAGACUGCCUACCCUCUGCAGAAUCUACCAAAAAGUAGAGUUUUCCCAUGAGCUCACUGCUUGUGGUCCAUGUAAAAAUGAAAAAAAAAAAAAAUCAGAGAAAACGAGCAAGGCCUUUUCUAACUACAGUUAUGAAAUGAUGGCUUAAAGAGGUAUUUAGAAAAUAAGAGUGGAAUAAUACAGAAACAAAAUCUGAAAAAGAAAGUUUGCUUAGGAGCUGAUGCUCUUUGUCUACAAACAAGAGGGUAAGGAGCUGGAUCCAACUGAAUUGAAUUGUUUUUGUUUGCUUGUUUGUUUUCUUCCAUUCAGUGCCUUUCAAAUUGUUUUUUACUGGAUGAAGAAACUCAACCAAGAAAAUAUAUGUCAAUUCUUGUAUAUGGGACAAUAUUAGCUGCUGUGAUUUUUAAUACUAGCAUAAAAUAUAAGAAUGUUUUUAUUACUGUGACAUUGUUUUUUUCUAAAUGAAUGCAUAGUGUAACAAUUGGUGUCAAAAAGCAUUGAAUUUUUUUCAAAUGGAUUAAGCUGGAAUAAUAAAGUGUAUCUAUGAGAUGAUUUCUGUAAACUCUGACUUGCUGAGAAAAAAGUGAAAAAGCUUUUUCUGGAAGAAACAUGGCAACUUAACCAUUAUUAAUCUGGACUAAAUAAAACAGGAAACUGCUUCUUUACAUUUCUAGUAAUUUUUUCUGCUUUUCCAAACAUUGUUAAGUUCUAUGCAACUUGUGCUACUCAAGUAAAGAUGAUGUCAGUAAUAAAAUUACAGAAUCUA
RNAcentral lists this non-coding RNA (3209 nucleotides) under Pongo abelii (Sumatran orangutan). The record is from RNAcentral. Lineage: Eukaryota; Metazoa; Chordata; Mammalia; Primates; Hominidae.